Molecule: long non-coding RNA, 211 nt
Filed under: Medicago truncatula (barrel medic)
Lineage: Eukaryota; Viridiplantae; Streptophyta; Magnoliopsida; Fabales; Fabaceae
Description: long non-coding RNA (MTRU_LNC001323)
Source: RNAcentral
UUAUCACUGUUUAAGAAAUUUGAAUAAGAGUUUCUUCAAGUUCUUGUAAAUCAUGGUUAGUUCUGUGAUGUACUGUAAGUGGUACUGUAUAACAUAUCACUUGACAACAAACAAUGUGUUUUGUAGUUAUUGCAGAACUCAUGUUGGUAAUAUAGCUACCUUACUGUGAUUUUUAUUGAGGAGGAUUUGAUAGAGAUGGUACGUGUUGCAU